Lactuca sativa (garden lettuce) is the source of this 644-nucleotide long non-coding RNA. RefSeq lists it as uncharacterized. Lineage: Eukaryota; Viridiplantae; Streptophyta; Magnoliopsida; Asterales; Asteraceae. The record is from RefSeq and is a predicted model, not a curated record.
CUCUAUCUAACGGUACUUUCAAAAAGAAUUUUCGAUGCACGAAUCCCGAGGCACCCAGUUUUGUGUGUUUUGGGCAAUUAAUGAGGGAAUAACCCAUGUGGGGCCCACAUGUGACACAAGAAGGUAAAAAGUCCAGAUUUUCUUCCCUUCUACUUCUUCCCCACGUUCUUCUUUCCUCCCCCUCUCUUCUUCUUUGUGUGCAAGUCUAUCAAAAAUGGUACAAUGCUUGGUUGGAGGUAUGGCCACAAAAGAGUGUAUGUGUUCCUCUUCUAGUAUAAAUAAGAGCUCUUAGAAGCCAUUAAAGUCACCAAUUCACAGCCACUUCUCUCAAGUUCUCUCUCUCCUUAUUUCUCUCUAUUCCUAUUGAUUUCUUGAUCAUCACCCUUAACCACCACAACCCCAUCAUAUACCACCACCUCUUAUGCCGUUGAUACUGCCGCUGAAACUAAAUAAAUCUCGACGAUUCGUAUUCACGGCAAUAUAUCUCGCUUUUUCUCGCAACAAUUACUCGACAACUACACAUUAAGACAGGCUUUCAGGAAGAAGAUUACUUGUGGAUUGUAGACGACCUAGCUAGCUUGUUCCUAUUAUUUGCUUAUCUGUUAAAGGCAACUACUGUACUAUUAUUAUCUGUAAGAACCAUG